GGGCCCGCGCCUGAUUAACUAGUUGGUGGGGUAAUGGCUCACCAAGGCGACGAUCCAUAGCUGGUCUGAGAGGAUGAUCAGCCACACUGGGACUGAGACACGGCCCAGACUCCUACGGGAGGCAGCAGUGGGGAAUAUUGGACAAUGGGCGAAACCCUGAUCCAGCAAUGCCGCGUGAGGGAUGACGGCCUUCGGGUUGUAAACCUCUUUCAGCGGGGACGAAGCGCCGAUGAUGGUGGUGACGGUACCCGCAGAAGAAGCACCGGCCAACUACGUGCCAGCAGCCGCGGU
This 291-nucleotide ribosomal RNA is filed under the name uncultured Aeromicrobium sp. RNAcentral's name for it is "partial 16S ribosomal RNA". It matches the Rfam family "Bacterial small subunit ribosomal RNA", at positions 227 to 521 of the family's 1533-position model. The record is from RNAcentral. Lineage: Bacteria; Bacillati; Actinomycetota; Actinomycetes; Propionibacteriales; Nocardioidaceae.